RNAcentral lists this ribosomal RNA (447 nucleotides) under uncultured bacterium. RNAcentral describes it as "bacterial SSU rRNA". It matches the Rfam family "Bacterial small subunit ribosomal RNA", at positions 329 to 793 of the family's 1533-position model. The record is from RNAcentral.
UACCAGACUCCUACGGGAGGCAGCAGUGGGGAAUAUUGCACAAUGGGGGAAACCCUGAUGCAGCGACGCCGCGUGAGCGAUGAAGUAUUUCGGUAUGUAAAGCUCUAUCAGCAGGGAAGAAAAUGACGGUACCUGACUAAGAAGCCCCGGCUAACUACGUGCCAGCAGCCGCGGUAAUACGUAGGGGGCAAGCGUUAUCCGGAUUUACUGGGUGUAAAGGGGGCGCAGACGGCGAUGCAAGCCAGGAGUGAAAGCCCGGGGCCCAACCCCGGGACUGCUCUUGGAACUGCGUGGCUGGAGUGCAGGAGGGGCAGGCGGAAUUCCUGGUGUAGCGGUGAAAUGCGUAGAUAUCAGGAGGAACACCGGUGGCGAAGGCGGCCUGCUGGACUGCAACUGACGUUGAGGCCCGAAAGCGUGGGGAGCAAACAGGAUUAGAUACCCUGGUAU